AUUGAACGCUGGCGGCAGGCCUAACACAUGCAAGUCGAGCGGAUGACGGGAGCUUGCUCCUUGAUUCAGCGGCGGACGGGUGAGUAAUGCCUAGGAAUCUGCCUGGUAGUGGGGGACAACGUUUCGAAAGGAACGCUAAUACCGCAUACGUCCUACGGGAGAAAGCAGGGGACCUUCGGGCCUUGCGCUAUCAGGUGAGCCUAGGUCGGGUGAGCUAGUUGGUGGGGUAAUGGCUCACCAAGGCGACGAUCCGUACAUGGUCUGAGAGGAUGAUCAGUCACACUGGAACUGGGACGCGGUCCAGACUCCUACGGGGGGGAGCAGUGGGGAAUAUUGGACAAUGGGCGAAAGCCUGAUCCAGCCAUGCCGCGUGUGUGAAGAAGGUCUUCGGAUUGUAAAGCACUUUAAGUUGGGAGGAAGGGCAGUAAGUUAAUACCUUGCUGUUUUGACGUUACCGACAGAAUAAGCACCGGCUAACUCUGUGCCAGCAGCCGCGGUAA
This 500-nucleotide ribosomal RNA is filed under the name uncultured bacterium. Its description in RNAcentral is "partial 16S ribosomal RNA". It matches the Rfam family "Bacterial small subunit ribosomal RNA", at positions 30 to 523 of the family's 1533-position model. The record is from RNAcentral.